This 503-nucleotide ribosomal RNA is filed under the name uncultured bacterium. RNAcentral's name for it is "partial 16S ribosomal RNA". It matches the Rfam family "Bacterial small subunit ribosomal RNA", at positions 30 to 523 of the family's 1533-position model. The record is from RNAcentral.
AUUGAACGCUGGCGGCAGGCUUAACACAUGCAAGUCGAGCGGAGUGAUGGUGCUUGCACUAUCACUUAGCGGCGGACGGGUGAGUAAUGCUUAGGAAUCUGCCUAUUAGUGGGGGACAACAUCUCGAAAGGGAUGCUAAUACCGCAUACGUCCUACGGGAGAAAGCAGGGGAUCACUUGUGACCUUGCGCUAAUAGAUGAGCCUAAGUCGGAUUAGCUAGUUGGUGGGGUAAAGGCCUACCAAGGCGACGAUCUGUAGCGGGUCUGAGAGGAUGAUCCGCCACACUGGGACUGAGACACGGCCCAGACUCCUACGGGAGGCAGCAGUGGGGAAUAUUGGACAAUGGGGGGAACCCUGAUCCAGCCAUGCCGCGUGUGUGAAGAAGGCCUUAUGGUUGUAAAGCACUUUAAGCGAGGAGGAGGCUCUUUUGGUUAAUACCCAAGAUGAGUGGACGUUACUCGCAGAAUAAGCAUCGGCUAACUCUGUGCCAGCCGCCGCAGUAA